RNAcentral lists this ribosomal RNA (444 nucleotides) under uncultured bacterium. RNAcentral describes it as "partial 16S ribosomal RNA". It matches the Rfam family "Bacterial small subunit ribosomal RNA", at positions 354 to 796 of the family's 1533-position model. The record is from RNAcentral.
GUAGGGAAUAUUGGGCAAUGGUCGGAAGACUGACCCAGCCAUGCCGCGUGCAGGAAGACGGCCCUCUGGGUUGUAAACUGCUUUUAUCUGGGAAGAAAAUGGCCAUGCGUGGCAAAUUGCCGGUACCAGAUGAAUAAGCACCGGCUAACUCCGUGCCAGCAGCCGCGGUAAUACGGAGGGUGCGAGCGUUGUCCGGAUUUAUUGGGUUUAAAGGGUGCGUAGGCGGCUGAUUAAGUCAGCGGUGAAAGACUUCGGCUUAACCGGAGCAGUGCCGUUGAUACUGGUUGGCUUGAGUGUCGGAGGGGUACAUGGAAUUGAUGGUGUAGCGGUGAAAUGCAUAGAUACCUUCAGGAACACCGAUAGCGAAGGCAUUGUACUGGCCGACAACUGACGCUGAUGCACGAAAGUGUGGGGAUCGAACAGGAUUAGAAACCCGUGUAGUCC